GACGAACGCUGGCGGCGUGCUUAACACAUGCAAGUCGAACGGAAAGGCCCUGCUUUUGUGGGGUGCUCGAGUGGCGAACGGGUGAGUAACACGUGAGUAACCUGCCCUUGACUUUGGGAUAACUUCAGGAAACUGGGGCUAAUACCGGAUCGGAGCUCCUGCUGCAUGGUGGGGGUUGGAAAGUUUCGGUGGUUGGGGAUGGACUCGCGGCUUAUCAGCUUGUUGGUGGGGCCGUGGCUUACCAAGGCUUUGAGGGGUAGCCGGCCUGAGAUGGUGACCGGCCACGUAGGGGAUUAGAUACGGCCCAGUGGGCACCGGGAGGCAGCAGUGGGGAGUGUUGCACGAGGCGGGGAAGAGUGAGGCAGCACCGCCGCGUGCUGGAUGACGGCCUGCGGGUGGUGAAGGCCAGUCGCCUGUGACGAAGGGGGAGGGACGGUAAUUGGUAGAACAACAAGGGGUAACGACAUG
Molecule: ribosomal RNA, 468 nt
Filed under: uncultured bacterium
Lineage: Bacteria
Description: partial 16S ribosomal RNA
Rfam family: Bacterial small subunit ribosomal RNA
Source: RNAcentral